Long non-coding RNA from Leucoraja erinaceus (little skate), 7184 nucleotides. RefSeq lists it as uncharacterized. The record is from RefSeq and is a predicted model, not a curated record. Lineage: Eukaryota; Metazoa; Chordata; Chondrichthyes; Rajiformes; Rajidae. The transcript is spliced from 3 exons.
CAAGUUUUUUUAAACACAGUGGGUGCCUGGAAUGUGUUGCCAGGGUUGGUGGUGGAGAUGGAUAUAAAGGUGGUAUUUCAUAGGCUUUUGAUUUGCACAUGGACAUACUGGGAAUGGAGGGAUAUGGAUCAUGCACAGGCAGAUGUGAUUAGUUUAACUUGGCAUCAUGUUGGACACUGUUACUGUGGACUGAAGCACCUGUUCCUAUGUCAUACAGUUCUAUGUUCUAUAUGUCGGAGGAAUUAAUGUACACAGUGAAUGCUAAAAUCAUCUUGUAUGAUGAAGGAAUCUUGCCUUCAUUGUAGCUAGUAGGAGCUGUGGUUACAGGGAAUGAGAGGAAGCUCCAGAGGAAGGUGGUGGUCAGCAGCUGUGGAAGAGGGAGGAACAGUAGUUGAACAAGAAUGUGCCAAUUUGGGGAAGGGGAGUUGAAUUAAUGCUGUUCCUUCUGACUUAAAUGUUGGUGGUCAAAACGGCUUUUGGUACUUUGGCUUUCAUCAGUCAGAGUAUUGAGUAUAGAAGUUGUGAGGUCAUGUUGCAGUUGUAUAAGAUGUUGAUGAGACCGCAUUUAGAAUAUUGUGUUCAGUUCUGGGCACCAUGUUAUAGGAAAGAUAUUGUCAAGCUUGAAAAGGUUCAGACAAGAUUUACAAGGAUGUUGCCAGGACGAGAGUGUGUGAGCUAUAGGGAGAGGUUGUAGGCUAGUUCUCUAUUCCAUGGAGCUCAGGAGGAUGAGGGGAGGUGUACAAAAUCAUGAGAGGUAUAGAUCGGGUAGAUGCCGGGAGUCUUUUACCCAGAGUAGGGGAAUCGAGGACCAGAGAACAUAGGUUCAAGGUGAAGGGGAAAAGAUUUAAUAGGAAUCCGAGGGGUAACGUUUUCACACAAAGGGUGGUGGGUGUAUGGAACAAGUUGCCAGAGGAGGUAGUUGAGGCUGGGACUAUCCCAUCGUUUAAGAAACAGUUGGACAGGUACGUGGAUAGGACAGGUUUGGAGGGUUAUGGACCAAGCGCAGGAAAGUGGGACCAGGAUAGAUGGAACAUUGUUGGCCGUUGUGAGCAAGUUAGGCUGAAGGGCCUGUUUCCACAAUGUAUUACUUUAUGACUCUAUGACUUCAUUGGAGACCCUCAGACAAUCAUUAAUCGGACUUUACUGGACUUUAUCUUUCACUAAAUGUUAUUCCCUUUAUCAUGUACCUGUACAUUGUGGAUGGCAUGAUUGUAAUUAUGUAGUCUUUCCACUGACUGGUUAGCACUCAACAAAAGAUUUUCACUGUUCCUCGGUGGUGAGACAUAAAGUGAGAAUUGAAGUCAUGAACGACCAGAAGCUUGUGGCCACUGGAGUUGUUCAGCAAAGUGUUCAAAUAAUCUAUGUUUGGUUGGAAACAUAGUGUACCAGAACACCAAGCUACAUCACAAGGAGGUGGUUGGAAGGUUAAAACAAUAAAGCAAUUGGGAUUCUGGGAUUUUUAAAUACAGGCACAGAAUACAAAGCAAGGAAGUUUUGUGUGAAGAAAAAAAUCAUGCAUUUCCAGCUGGAUUGUUGUGCUACAGUUUGGACAGUUUAUUUUAAGAGAGGCUUUGGCAAGAGUGCAGAUGCAUUUUAUUUGGGCUCCAAAGAUGACUGAUUAUACUUGUGUGGAUAGAAUAGUAAAGCUCUGUCAUGAGUAUUUAAUUGCCAUAUGCACUACAAACGGCUGUGUUUAAGAAUGGAUGCUAAUGGGCGAUUUGAUGGAUGAAAUCAUCCAUUGAGUAAAUAAUGACCUUUUCCAGUGGCCAAGAGAUUGUUAAAAUAGAGGGCACAAGCUGACUGAAUUAAAGAGCAGAAAUGAUAUGGGAUUGGUUUUCCGCAAAGCCUGGGAAGGAUUUGGAGAGCACUGUCUGCAUGUGAUGUUAAAUUCAAUGUGAGAUUGUAUAAUUAGUUGAAGCCAAGUACAGAAGAAUGAAUGGAACUAAUAAGUUUUAAAGAAACUGCACAGUCUGAAUGAAUAUCCGUUUUGCUGCACUAUGUAAAUUGCUCUUACUGAAGUGUGCAACUUGGAUGUUGCAAGAGGAGGUAGCGGGGGAGGGCGUGAGGAGUAGUUGUGUUUCCUGUGUUUGUGUUGAAAGACGCUCGUGGAAGGUUGGAGCAAGAUGACGUGGAAGGAAUGGUCCCUUCUGAAUACUAAAGGAAGAUGCCCUUGCAACAGGAAGAUGCAGACGAUGAUCUUUCAAAUGUGGAAUCCUGAGGACCAGGAAACGCCUAUUGUGGUCAUAGUGAAGGAUAGGGGUGGGGAAGGAUGGGAAGUGGACACAUGAACUUAAAUGUGACUGUGUGGAAGGGGAAUGUUAAACAAGUUCUGAACAUGUCUGAGUACUCCAGGCUCUCUAGUACAAUUCAGUGAUUGCUGGGAGUCUGUACCCUGGGUGAAAUGAAGACUAUGUGUAAAUGUGAUAGGCAAUAGGUGAGGCGUAUCUAGAGUUCAUGCGUGUUGCUGUAGUGAUGGGAUUUCUCUUGAGUUGGCAUCGACUGGAUGGGUUGAUUUUACCAUUAAUAAAUAAUUUUCUGCUGUUUUCUGUGGCAAUGAGGUAGAUUUAGUAGAAUGAGGACAAAAUUACAAGAAGUUUGGUGGACGAGGCCUGGUGACGAAAUGGAAACUUUUGUUCCAUGUACAUGUGAGAUGGUGACUGGAGAGUGAAUGAUGUGUUGAAGUGAAUGGGAUGUUCUGCAUUGGAACUGUUGGGUAGUGUGGGCAGGUGGUGUAAAGCGAGUCACACCGUGUCUGCCUUAAUGAAGAGACCGUCUUGGUCUUGUACCCUGAAGAAACAGAGUAUCUGGUAUGUUUCUGCAGGUGGGGUCCUGGUACCAUUGAGUUCCAUCAAGACCUUGUAAAUUGUAAAUUGAAUUGAUGAGAACAGAAAGAUGAGGGAAAAGAUUUCUGGUACUCAUUGCAUUAGUUGUUAGCUUUUAUUACACUAAUUUUGCUUCAGAAUGGCAAUGUGAUUAAUAGUUUAGCAACCUGUGCUUUGAGAUUUUGUUCUGGUAAUUUUAAGCCAGCGUCAGAAAAAUGAAAGUGAAAGUUGCCACUUCUUAAAAGUUCAUAUUAAUUGUAAGGGGGAGGGUGGAAAACCCCUUGCUUUAUUCCGACAUUCAGUAAUUCAAUUGCAAGUCUGUGUCUUCUGAGAAAGCUGUUUUCGGGGUGGGGGGAACGACACAGCUAGCCAGCUGCCAUCGUACAUACAUUGUAUGUGUCCUUGCAGUAUUGUCACCCUGUCCUUUCCCUGGUGCUGAGUAUUAUGUGCAAGGAGACAAAUGGUUGACUGAACAAAUCCCACCAUGCCAGGAAGUAUAAUAUAUGCUUAUAGCUAGUUCAUGUCAGGACUGUCUUAUGAAGAAAGACUGGAUAGACUUGGUUUAUACUCUCUAGAAUUUAGGAGAUUGAGAGUGGAUCUUAUAGAAACUUACAAAAUUCUUAAGGGGUUGGGCUGGCUAGAUGCAGGAAGAUUGUUCCCGAUGUUAGGGAAGUCCAGGACAAGGGGUCACAGCUUAAGGAUAAGGGGGAAAUCCUUUAAAACCGAGAUGAGAAGAACUUUUUUCACACAGAGAGUGGUGAAUCUCUGGAACUCUCUGCCACAGAGGGUAGUUGAGGCCAGUUCAUUGGCAAUAUUUAAGAGGGAGUUAGAUGUGGCCCUUGUGGCUAAGGGGAUCAGGGGGUAUAGAGAGAAGGCAGUUACCGGAUACUGAGUUGGAUGAUCAGCCAUGAUCAUAUUGAAUGGCGGUGCAGGCUCGAAGGGCCGAAUGGCCUACUCCUGCACCUAAUUUCUAUGUUUCUAUGUUUCUAAAUGUACUAUUGAGCACUGGGAUUCCAACCAAGAAAUCCAAAUAUAUUACUGCUGAAGGAUAACAGGAAAAGCAUUCUUGAGGCUUGGGUGGAAGUAGUGGACGCGAAGCUGAUGUGAACAGUUGGGGAUUAGCAAACUUUAAAAAUCAAACUUGAACAUUUGACUAAUACAGUUCAAAAUGUAAAGUGAACCAGCUAAGGUGGCGAGUGUUUAGGUGUGGCAACUAAAGUAUUUGGUAUGAGCACCUUGUAUCAGAAUCAUAUUGCCAGGAGAAAUGGUUCUAGUCUGGGUUUCCUCAGUUUGUCUUGUUGAUGGAAAACUAUUCAGAAAUAUCCAACUAAGCUCUAUAUAAUGAGGAUGUAUGAGAAACAUACCUCCUAUGUUGGAAAUCUGAAGUAAAGAAAUUGCUCGAGAUACUGGACAAUAUUAAAGUAGGAAAUGCAGGAAAUCAACAGGUCGAUGGAGGAAGGAAUAUUAUUGUUUCCCAUAUUGGCUUAACUAAUACAGAAGCCAUUUGAAAUAGCGUUGGAUCUGCUGAGUAUUUCCCGUGUUGUUUUAAUUUUCCCAGUUUCUCUUUAGAAAUAAGAUUUAUUCUGAAAGCUUACUCAGUUGAAUGAGAUCCAGAUCCCGCAAGAGUUGAUUGAUUCCCUGGAGUCCCCUUCACAAUAUGAUGCUUUGACUUUAUUCCUUGCUGCAAUUGUGACAUUCAUAUUUGGUAGAAGCAUCUCUAGUGAGCAGAAUCUAGAUCUCUGUUGCCACUGAAGUGCUUAUGAAAUACUGUUGGGAUCUGAGUUAAUAGGGGUCAAAAAUUAAAAUAAAACUCUCUCUCCAGUAAAGGCAAGGUUGAAAUUGGGAAGCCCCUUUUCUACAAAUAGACGUACAAUUUUGAAACUUUCCCAAAAAACCAUUGACAGCAGAUCACUGCAUUUGCCAAGGUUGCAAUCUAUAAUUAUGAUACACAAGGGUAUCAGGGAUAUAAAUUAAACUUGAGUAAAUGGGAUUGAGGUAUAGAUCAGCUGUGAAUUAAUUGAAUGGCAGAACUUCCUCAAAGGGCUAAACACCCUUCUCCUGUUGUGUUGGAAACAACAUUAAAAUUUGUCCCUAGUGAUGUGGAGGUUUUGAUUUAAUCUUGAAUGUUCAGGGUUCAAGGUAUAUAAUAACAUCUUAUAGUCUCCUGUUUGGAUUUGAACAUAGACUGUUACAGCAUAAACAUAAAUUGAGAUCAAAAUACAAACUGAUGCAGGAACUCUGCAGGUCUGGCAACAUCUGAGGACCAGAGGGAUGGUCAACAUUUUGGGUCAGGAUCCUGAAACAGUCAGUGAAAUUUGUUGUUAAAAGUAAACUAUACAUGCAGCAAUGAUUAUAUAGAGCAAGUGCAAAACAGCAGAAUGGUGCAAGAUUGUAGUGUGAAAGAAUUACAGUAUUAAAGUCCACUAAUGGAAUAAUCAAAAGAGGUAGAAUUAAGUUAGAGGAUAUGGCAACACUUUAAAGAAAUGUAUGUGAUUGGCUCAGAAAUCUGACAACACUGGGGAAGAAUCAUUUCGUAAUUCUUUAUAUCUCCAUUUUCUCUUUCCUGUAUUUUGUCUCAUUAUCUUUGAUCCCGCGAACUACUGAUAUCAUCAGACUUAAAGAUUGCGUUGAUGUUGUACUUAGUCACGCAGUUAUGGGAAUACAUGGAGUGGACCAAGGGAGUGAGUACAUAACCCUGAAGGAUACUAGUAUUGAAGGUCAGCGUGGGGGCAAUGUCAUGACUGAUUGCAACUAACUUGAGGUCUGUUGGUCAGGAGGUCUAGAUGCCAGUUGUAGAUAGAGGCUCCAAAGACAAAGUCCUGAAGUUUAGGUAUGAGGUUAUUCAGUAUUAUGAUGUUGAAGGCCGAGCUGUAGUCAAUAAUAGGUAACAUUUUACAGGUUGUGUAUGUUGCAUUGAAUAAUGGAGCACAAAUUACAAUUUCAGUGUUCACCUUUGGUGAAACUGAUAGACUGUAUUCUUAAGAGGCAAUUGUGUUUGAUUGCUGCAGGGAGGUUAUAUGGAAACAGUUUAUUUUCCUUAAGAGGCUGUCCCAUUUGGGGGACCUAAUUGGCGAGUUUAGAAUAGUUUGAAAAAAAUGUCAUGUUGAAGACCUCCUUCGACUGUGUUGAAGACUAGCUAUGACUAACUUCGUGAAAAUGACACCAAAUAGUGGAGAGUGAAGACUACCUCCUUCGACCUCCCUUCGACUAUGAUGAAGACUAUCUACGACUACCUUCGACUACCCUCGAAUACGCUUGAUUACCUAUGACUAACAUGCCGACCUACUACGACUAAACCUACGAGUAAAAAAAGUAUCGAUUUUUUUCCAUGGCAACCUUUUUUUUUACUCGCGGGCAUUUUUCAACAUGUUGAAAAAUACGCCGCGACCUAGCUGAGGCCUCGAGUACACAGGGGCCACUCUCGAGCAUGAAGGAGAGUUACUAAGACCUCCUACGAUCUUGUGUCGACCAUGCUGUGAGUAUGAGUCGAGGGCGAACUCGCGGAUUAGGUCGACCAAGUGGGACAGCCCCUUCAGACCUAUUUUUGCCCAAGACAAUUUUUUCUGAUUGUCAAUUUCUAAAGUAAAUUUUAAAUGAUUCUCUUAGUUCCUGAUUGAAAUUACAUUUUAACAUUUUGGCCCAUGUAAUACGAAGAGCGUUCCUUAAUUCAUCAAUCAUGUUGUGUCCAAUUUACAUUCUGAAAACCUGCAUUAUAGCUUAUAAUGUAUUUUGAGUUGGUGUUACAUCUGGAUACAAAGGGCUUGUAGAGAGCACUGUCAUCAACAAAACAGAUGCAUAUUGUAUUCUGAUCAGUGGCACUACUUGGUUCAGUGUCAGUUCCCUCCUCUCCCACUUAGUGAUGUCUCCAAAAGGCAGUGUGCGUUUCAUUUUGCAUUUCUCGGAACAACACAAGGUUGUUUAGUUCAAAGUAGGCACAAAAUGUUGGAGUAACUCAGCGGGACAGGCAGCAUCUCCAGAGAGAAGGAAUGCUUGGUCCAUACUGGUUCUCGUUCCCACUUUUCAUUUCCCUGUCCUGCUGCUACUUAUCUCUUGCACAUGCCCAAGAUUUUCCUCUUUGAUUCCUCAUGAGAAUAAGUAGUUAUUUACAGCAGCUAAUUAACCUUGCAGCAAAUCCUUGGAGCAAGGGGAGGAAGCUGGAGUAUAAGAGGAAACCUGCACUGUCCCAGGGAACAACUGCUGCCUAUAAUCAGUGGGUCAUAAGCUCAAGUUCCAGGAUGGCAGAUGGAUCGCUGCAUUGCUGAAAAUAAUGUCAAGAAUGUUUUAUAGUCAUAUGUCCAAGAUAGAACAAUGAAAUUCUUACUUGCUGCAGCACAGCAGAAUAUGUAAACAUAGUAAAUAAUA